GCGUCAGUGGUUUAGUGGUAAAAUCCAUCGUUGCCAUCGAUAGGCGCCGGCUUUGAUUCGCGGCUGACGCA
RNAcentral lists this transfer RNA (71 nucleotides) under Thermothielavioides terrestris NRRL 8126. RNAcentral describes it as "tRNA-Gly (GCC) (tRNA-Gly-GCC-3-1)". Lineage: Eukaryota; Fungi; Ascomycota; Sordariomycetes; Sordariales; Chaetomiaceae. The record is from RNAcentral.